This 253-nucleotide ribosomal RNA is filed under the name uncultured bacterium. RNAcentral describes it as "partial 16S ribosomal RNA". It matches the Rfam family "Bacterial small subunit ribosomal RNA", at positions 524 to 776 of the family's 1533-position model. The record is from RNAcentral.
GACAGAGGUCCCGAGCGUUAGGCGGAAUCACUGGGCGUAAAGCGCACGUAGGCGGAUUGUUAAGUCAGGGGUGAAAUCCUGGAGCUCAACUCCAGAACUGCCUUUGAUACUGGCGAUCUCGAGUCCGGGAGAGGUGAGUGGAACUGCGAGUGUAGAGGUGAAAUUCGUAGAUAUUCGCAAGAACACCAGUGGCGAAGGCGGCUCACUGGCCCGGUACUGACGCUGAGGUGCGAAAGCGUGGGGAGCAAACAGG